Molecule: ribosomal RNA, 405 nt
Filed under: uncultured bacterium
Lineage: Bacteria
Description: bacterial LSU rRNA
Rfam family: Bacterial large subunit ribosomal RNA
Source: RNAcentral
AGAAGGUGACUGACUGCGAGAGAGACAUCUCGAGCAGAGACGAAAGUCGGGCUUAGUGAUCCGGUGGUACCGAGUGGAAGGGCCAUCGCUCAACGGAUAAAAGCUACCUCGGGGAUAACAGGCUUAUCUCCCCCAAGAGUCCACAUCGACGGGGAGGUUUGGCACCUCGAUGUCGGCUCGUCUCAUCCUGGAGCUGAAGCAGGUUCCAAGGGUUGGGCUGUUCGCCCAUUAAAGAGGCACGCGAGCUGGGUUCAGAACGUCGUGAGACAGUUCGGUCCCUAUCCGUCGCGGGCGUAAGAUAUUUGAAAGGAGCUGCUCCUAGUACGAGAGGACCGGAGCGGACGAACCGCUGGUGCACCAGUUGUUCCGCCAGGAGCACAGCUGGGUAGCUAAGUUCGGCAGGGC